Molecule: ribosomal RNA, 1235 nt
Filed under: metagenome
Description: bacterial LSU rRNA
Rfam family: Bacterial large subunit ribosomal RNA
Source: RNAcentral
UGAAUACGAGACGCUACGGCGUUGAAGCAGUCUAUGUCAUACUUCCAAGAAAAGCUCGCAAUGUCAUAAACAAAUAAUGCCUGUACCAUAACCGACACAGGUGGGUAGGUAGAGUAUACUAAGGGGCGCGAGAUAACUCUCUCUAAGGAACUCGGCAAAAUGACUCCGUAACUUCGGGAGAAGGAGUGCCUUAUUUAUAAGGUUGCAAUAACAAGAUCCAAGCAACUGUUUAUCAAAAACACAGGUCUCCGCUAAGUCGUAAGACGAUGUAUGGGGGCUGACGCCUGCCCAGUGCCAGAAGGUUAAAGAAGUUGGUUAGCAUUCGCGAAGCUGAUAACUGAAGCCCUGGUGAACGGCGGCCGUAACUAUAACGGUCCUAAGGUAGCGAAAUUCCUUGUCGGGUAAGUUCCGACCCGCACGAAAGGCGUAAUGAUUUGGAUACUGUCUCGGAGAGGGGCUCGGUGAAAUAGACUUGUCUGUGAAGAUGCGGACUACCUGCACCUGGACAGAAAGACCCUAUGAAGCUUUACUGUAACUUGAAAUUGAAAUUGGACUUUAUUUGCGCAGUAUAGGUGGGAGGCGUUGAGAGUAUUCUUGCGGGAAUAUUGGAGCCAUCAGUGAGAUACCACUCUUGUAAUGUUAGAUUUCUAACUUUGUAUCAUUAUCUGGUCAAAGAACAGUUUCAGGCGGGCAGUUUUGACUGGGGCGGUCGCCUCCCAAACGGUAACGGAGGCGUACAAAGGUUUCCUCUGAACGGGUAGAAAUCGUAUCUAGAGUGUAAAGGCAUAAGGAAGCUUGACUGUGAGACCUACAAGUCGAGCAGGGACGAAAGUCGGUCUUAGUGAUCUGACGGUGCUGAGUGGAAAGGCCGUCACUCAACGGAUAAAAGUUACUCUAGGAUAACAGGCCGAUCUCCCCCAAAAGUUCACAUCGACGGGGAGGUUUGGCACCUCGAUGUCGGCUCAUCGCAUCCUGGGGCGGUAGUACGUCCCAAGGGUUGGGCUGUUCGCCCAUGAAAGCGGUACGCGAGCUGGGUUCAGAACGUCGUGAGACAGUUCGGUCCAUAUCCGGUGUAGGCGUUAGAGUAUUGAGAGGAGCCUUCUUUAGUACGAGAGGACCGAGAAGGACAUACCUCUGGUGUACCAGUUAUCGUGCCAACGGUAAACGCUGGGUAGCUAUGUAUGGAGAGGAUAACCGCUGAAAGCAUCUAAGUGGGAAGCCCACCUCAAGAUAAG